This 21-nucleotide non-coding RNA is filed under the name Caenorhabditis elegans. Lineage: Eukaryota; Metazoa; Nematoda; Chromadorea; Rhabditida; Rhabditidae. The record is from RNAcentral.
UUCGUAAAAUCUAUACAUCAC